Molecule: ribosomal RNA, 497 nt
Filed under: uncultured bacterium
Lineage: Bacteria
Description: partial 16S ribosomal RNA
Rfam family: Bacterial small subunit ribosomal RNA
Source: RNAcentral
GAUGAACGCUGGCGGCGUGCCUAAUACAUGCAAGUCGAGCGAACAUACUCGGAGCUUGCUCCUCUGACGUUAGCUGCGGACGGGUGAGUAACACUUCGAUAACCUACCUAUAAGACUGGGUUAACUUCGUGCAACCUGCGCUCAUACCGGAUAAUAUAUUGAACCGCAUGGUUCAAUCGUGAAAGACUGUUUUGCUGUCACUUAUACAUGGAUCCGCGCCGCAUUAGCUAGUUGGUAAGGUAACGGCUUACCAAGGCAACGAUACGUAGCCGACCUGAGAGGGUGAUCGGCCACACUGGAACUGAGACACGGUCCAGACUCCUAAGGGAGGCAGCAGUAGGGAAUCUUCCGCAAUGGGCGAAAGCCUGACGGAGCAACGCCGCGUGAGUGAUGAAGGUCUUCGGAUCGUAAAACACUGUUAUUAGGGAAGAACAAAUGUGUAAGUAAAUAUGCACGUAGUGACGGUACCUAAUCAGAAAGCCACGGCUAACUACGUG